GUGAAGGCUACCUCAAUCGGAG
Molecule: ribosomal RNA, 22 nt
Filed under: Pisolithus albus
Lineage: Eukaryota; Fungi; Basidiomycota; Agaricomycetes; Boletales; Pisolithaceae
Description: partial 28S ribosomal RNA
Source: RNAcentral